This is an RNA transcript of Salvia miltiorrhiza (redroot sage), 1638 nucleotides long. RefSeq lists it as uncharacterized. The record is from RefSeq and is a predicted model, not a curated record. Lineage: Eukaryota; Viridiplantae; Streptophyta; Magnoliopsida; Lamiales; Lamiaceae. The transcript has 2 exons.
GCCAAUCCCCACCCAAAAUGAGGUCACACCCUUCUGUGGCUAAUACUCUAGGUGAGUAUGUGAAUGUGUGUUGCUGGAUGUUCCAUUUAAAACCCUUGAUCUAUUUUGAGCUGACCAUUCUGUCACCAUUAGCUGCCUUCACCAAGAUAGGUUUAAUAGGUUAUGUAGAACAAUUAAGCUUUCUCACUGUUGUCUCACUAAUAAAACUCAACGUACUACCUGAGUCUAUCAAUAUAUUAAUUUUGUGUCCAUUAACUUCUCCAAUCACUCUCAUAGUAGUUGGCCCUCCUUCUCCUAGGAUAGCACUGAGGGCUACAGCCACUUCUUCUAUGGUUUUUGCUUCAAAUUCCCCAUCAACUUCUUCAGCCUCAGCCUGCAUCAAUUCCAGCUCUUCUUCUUCAGUCAUUAUAAGGUUUCAAGAAUUUAAAGGGUACCUUUGAUGCAUCUCCACUCACUUUCUGUGGAACAAUGGGUGUUACAGUUCUGCCCUUCUCAUAAACUGGCCCGACCCAUUAUUACUCUUGUAGUUACCUUUCAAUUUUCUUGUGAGUGCAUCAAGGGUGAGUAGUUGAUUUCUCCCCAACUCAAUUGCUUGGCUUAGAGUGAUAGGAUUAAACAUCCUAAUGAAGGAUUGUAGCUCUUCCCCUAGCCCACUUACAAAGCUGGCAAUAAAGUAUUCUUCUGAAAAUUCACCCCCAUUAACAAGUAACAUGCAUGCUCUGAGUUCCUCAAAUUUGUCCACAUAAUCAGCAUAAUUACCAGUCAUUCUUAAUUUGUUAAAUUCUGCCACAAUCUUAGUCUCUUUGAGUUCCUCAAACCUUGCUGAAAUCAGAUCAACAAAUUGAUCCCAAUUUAGCUCAUAAGGUUUACCAGAUAGGUUCUGGAACCAUAGUGAAGCCUUUCCCUCAAAGUGCAUAGCAGCCAUCCUCACUUUUUGGGAAUCAGGUAGAGUAGGAAUUAAAUCAAAAUAGCCCCUGCACUUCAAGAUCCAAGCCCUCGGAUAAAUUCCACCAAAUCUAGGGAAAUCAAGCUUUGGUAAGGGAGUGGAGUGAUUAUGGGACUUCCUCCACCCCCUUCACCCUACAAUCUGUACUUGUGAGAAUAAGGAGUUUUUCCCCCACUACCCCACUAAUGCUCAUGAUCCCCUAAGAUCGACUCAGAACCCUGACCCCCACUACCUUUACUCAUAUUCAAUAACUGUAAUUGUAAAGAUGCUAGGGUAGAGGUUAAGUGUUCAAAUUUACCAUCUACACGUGAAAGAUGUUUCUGCAUUUCAUCAGCCAUUUUAUUCAUCUUUUCCUGCAUUUUGACUUCAGUUGCCUCCCUUUUGAACGAUUUUGCUUGUAAUACUUGAUCUAACUUCUUUUGUGCCUCUUGUAGGUCUUUAAAUCUCGUAACAUCAGCCAUCGCCCGAGGAUCGAUUGCUCUGAAUACCAACUGUUAUGAUCUAAGUUGAAAUUAUAAGUUUUAUGUAAUGUUGCAGCAAAUUUCUGGAAAUGUAAAGAGAGAUAGUGUGUAGAAUAUUGAGGAGGCGGUAGAAAGAGAAAGUAGGUAGAAAAUUGGACAAUUCUUUUCAUAAACCCUACUGUUGCAAACUUACAGCAUAUAAGAAAUGGGAAGUGGUCCCCUUCUGGUAAA